GUCAAUCAUAUCAGAUCGUAAUAUAUCCAAAGACCAAAAGAAUAAAAUUUUAGAGACAAUUGUAAUAGAUUAAAGGGAGGAGGAUGAAGAUCUUUUAUUAAUAGUAUUGGUUUGGCCAGCCUCUCCAUAGAGAGGUUCAGAGCCUUACAAUAAAAUAUUCUCUCUUCUUUUAGAAAGAGAUGUGAAGAAGAAGAAGAAGAAGAAGAAGAAGAAGAAGAAGAAG
This 223-nucleotide long non-coding RNA is filed under the name Nicotiana benthamiana. RNAcentral describes it as "long non-coding RNA (NBEN_LNC008841)". Lineage: Eukaryota; Viridiplantae; Streptophyta; Magnoliopsida; Solanales; Solanaceae. The record is from RNAcentral.